UUUUUUUUUUUUUUUUUUUUUUUUGCUUUUUAGGACUGCACCCGCAGCAUAUGGAGGUUCCCAGAGGUCGAAUUGGAGCUACAGCUUCUGGCCUGUGGCACAGCCACAGCAAUGCCAGAUCUGAGCCACAUCUGCGACCUACAUCGCAGCUCACAACAAUGCCAGAUCCUUAACCACUGAGUGAGGCCAGGGAUCAAACCCACAACCUCAUGGUUCUUAGUCAGAUUUGUUUCUGCUGCACUGCGAUGGGAACUCCAUGAGUCUUUUUAUUUUAAAAAUUCCGGAAGUAUCUCUGAUCUUCCUUUGCCACUUGCUUACUGGGUAGAUCUAGUGAAACAAAGUAAGCCAAACUUUUUGUAAGCUAUUCAGCGCUAUAAACAGUUAACAUAUGGGCUAGUGAUUCUUAGAUGUGAAUGUUCAUGAAAACCAUCUCUUGGAGUAUGUUAAAAAUGCAAAGUCCUGGGACCUGCUGCCAGUGAUUAUGCUUCUGUGGAUUUGGAACAUAGAAAUAGGAUGUUAUAUAAAAAAAUAUGAUCAUUACAAUAGCUUGUGAAAUUUUGUCAUAAAAAUGCCCAUAAGAUGUCUUUCAGAGACUGGUUUUAACCUUUUAAAUAAGUGAAGAUGAAAACAGUAACACUUGGUGUCAGGAAAUGACUGUUCUUAUAUAUCAUUGAUAUGAGUAUAAACUUGGAACCACCUUUCUAGAGGAUAGUUGGGAAAUGUCUAUUAAGGUAUAGAAAUACCCUUCCCCUUUAAUCUAGCAGUUCCACUUCUUAGAUUUUUUUGAGAUGAAAAUGCUACAUGUACUCAAUCACAUGUGCAGAAAUAUCCAUUGAAUAGUUCUUAUGAAAGGAAGCGUAUACUAGGCAACUUAAAUAUACAACUCUAAGGAAUUAUAUAAAUGAAUUAUGUUAUAUCUACAUUAUGAAGAAUUAUGCAGACAUUAAAAUGUGGAUAUAGAACUAUGUUUUUAUUUACCUAAAGGUGUCUAUGAUAUGUGGCUAAUUGAAAAAGGUAUAUAAAACAUGUAUAAAAUGAACUAAUUAAAAGGUAUAUAUGUCUAGAAAGAUAAUCUGAUCAUUUAAGAUGGUAAAUGGUUUCCUCUGGAUGAUGGAAUUGAGUUUUCUUAUUAAUAAGAAAAAUUUACAAAUUUUUAUGAACAGAGAAAUGAAAGAAAGCAACUUUCUGCCUUUAAAAGGAAAAAAUAUUUACAGGACUUAUAUUAUUGAUUAAUAUAAUUAUUUUCUCUCAUACUUGGUAUCUGUAGUUCCUUUUGCCCCCAUUCUGCUAAGCAUAAUAGUUAUUAGAUUUGUUUUCUUCUUAGGCUCUUAUAAGACUAAUUUGCAUGUUGUGGCUACAGAUGCCAAGAAGGUUCCUGCACCCUCCUCAAUUUUUUAAUUGAAUUCUUAUGAUGAAUUGCAACAUCAGCAGUUUCAGACCAUUUUCUAUAACUAAGGCAUAGUCACCAUGAUAUAGUGUACUUUUACUUAUUGCUACGUGUCUUGUUUGUUUUGUAUUGUACUUGCCUAACUUUAUAACCAUAUAUAAAAAUUUGGCUAAUGAAGGGAGAAAUAAAUUAUUUUUAUUUUUCUGAUGUCUUAGCUAUUAUCAGGGAGAGGAAAAUCAUUGGGUAUACUUCUACGCCUGUCACCUAAGCAAAUAUUACUUUUAGAAGGGAAAAACCAGCCUCUGUUUAAGCUAACAAUUUUUAUGGGGAAUGUUUGUGAGUGUGCGUGUGGGUGCAUGUGUAGAAGCAUUAAAAGGGUGAUGACUACUAGGAAGCAUUAAUGAAAAAUUGAUUUACUAAACUUAUUCUCAGGAAGUCUGGAUUUAAGUUCUGGCUUAGUAUAUUUGCUACAUAGGAAAAUUGUUUGCAGUCUCAAAAGUUCUGUUUCCUUAUUGACAAAAUGGAGCUGAUUAUUCCCAUAUUAGCUACAAGGCUUGGGACAUGAUUCAAUCAAAUACUACCCUGUCCUUCCUCCAUUCGUUUGUUCUACAAAUGUAUUGAGCACCUACUUUAGAUGGGGCACUAAUCUAGCACAAGUGGACAAAGUUCCUGAUCCCUUGGAGCUCACAUUCCAGUGUGUAGAGAUGAAGGAUGAAAAAUAAGCCUAAUAAAUAGUAAAUUUUUAUUGUUAAAAAAUGCUAACCCUCAUCUGGGCCUUCAGCAAGUUGUAAUCUUUUUCGCAAUGGUAAAAUCAAAGAUCACUGACCACAGAUCACUAUGAUAAAUAUAAUAAUGAGAAAGUUUGAAGAGUUAUAAAGAUUACAAAAUGUGAUGCAGAGAUGUGAAGUGAGCAAGAAUGUAUACAUUUUAACAUCAUUUGUCUAGAAAUUAAAUGAGGUGUCUUAGUUUUUAGUUUGAUUUCAUUAAAGCCCUUGGAAAAAAAUCAAGUUUCAAGGUCAGUAAAGACUGCCUUUGUUUCUCCUUUGACAGCGCAGCUAGCACAUGAUCUGGGUGAUUCAGUGUUGCCCUUGCUUAUUUCAGAGAUUGAGAAGUCAUUUUCAACUCCGCCCUCUUUCUGUCCUCUCUGUGCUUUAUAAACCACCAUGUCUUGUCCAUUGUGUUUUCGAAUGGUAUCUCUCAUCUGUUUACUUCUCCACUGUUAGCCUCACAGUCCUAGAUAUCAUCAGUUUUUCUUGUACUGCACAUAUCCUCAUCCAUUCUCUACUUAGCCAUCAGAGAAUUUUGUGCCGACGCAGGUCUCAUCAAAUCACACCCAUGUGUAAAACCCUUCAGUGAUGUCUUCUGUCGUUUAUUCUCCUCAGGCCCCUGUCCAUUCUCUGCACUGCUCUGUAUCUCAGAAGGUACAGACUGCAUCACUGGCACUCCUUUGACUUCUAACUUUCCAUUGAAGAUGUUAUACUUCUCUUUGCACCUAGGAUGAAGUAUGCAAUCCGUGACACUGAUGAUAAUCUGCAAGGAAGGCCCUCCACAAUCUAACUAAUCUCCUCAGAACAACUUGGCUCUUUUCCUUACUCUGGCUCUGAUAGUUGCCCUUCAGUUCCUUAAAGACCCCAGGCCCCUCCUCUCUCCUUGGGUUCAUACAUCUCAUUCCUUAUGACUGAACCACUUCUCCUCUAUUUCCCUUCCCCUUCACUUGUCUUGCCCUUGGUUAUCAGGAAUCCCUCAGUUUUAAUGUCUCUUACUCAGAGAAAGCUUUCCUGGUUAUACAUUUCCAUUUCUCAUUAAAUUUUUUUUUUUUGGAAACAGGCAGCAUGACUGUAUAUAAAUAUUCAUGUCAUUAUUUGCAUGAUGUUUCUUUUCUCUGCUAGAUUCCAGGCUUCAUGAGGUCAAAGAUAGGAAAAUUUUUGUUUGUCUUUUAAAUCUUGACCUCAGAUGCAGUAUUUGGUAAAUACAGAGCACUUACUAACUGCCUGGUAAAUGCAUUCUGAAAGUGAAGGGGGCUUCACAGGUAGUUUUCAAUAAUUACCAAGGAAAUUUUAAGGUGUUAAUGUUGGGUGAGACCCAGGAGCAGAAAUAGAAUACAGUAUUAGAAGAAGAACUUGAACUAGAGCCUGGGUGUGUACAUUAUUUCCUGUGCUAAAAUUGAUGCCCAUGAACCUGGUGGUGUUACAUUAGACACUGAGAACCACAUGCUAAAGAAAAUAAUGUCAGUAGGCAUUUUUUUUUUUUCAGUUUUAAAUUGAAAGAAUAUGUAAUUUUUUUUGUUGCGUAUCCUUAUUAUAAGUGACUGGAAUUACUGACGUCUUUUUCUUGACUUUAAUUAAGAGCAGUUUUAUUUAACAAAUGGAAAUGAGGGAGGGAAAGUUUGAUACCAUACAUGUGGAUGAAGACAAAAAGAAUGACUUUGAAAAUAUUUGAAAAACAAUCUAUAAAGCUGUAUUAUAAAUGAUUCUUGCUAUUAAAAAUUCCAAUUAUUUUUUAAAAGAUUAACUUUGGUUGUUAACCCUCUCAGUGAAACCUGACCUUUAAACAAGACAAUUUGGUUUUGCCAGUAGUGAACUACUCUGUUAUAUGCAUUCAUUUUUCUUUUUUUUGGUCUUUUUAGGGUCACACCUGUGGCGCAUGGAAAUUCUCAGGCUAAGGGUUGAAUCGGAGCUAUAGCUGCUGCCCAUGCCACAGCCACAGUAAUGCCAGAUCACAGUAACAUGGGAUCCGAGCUGCAUCUACCACCCCACCACAGCUCAUGGCAAUGCCGGAUCCUUAACCCACUGAGCAAGGCCAAGGAUCAAACCUGCAUCCUCCUGGAUACUAGUUGGGUUAGCUACCUCUAAGCCUUGAUGGGAACUCCUGCCUUAAGUAUUUUAAAAUCUGACCUUUUAUAUUUUUGUCAUUAGGAAACUUUACUUAUUUUCUACAAGAAAAUAAAAAUCUAUUUAUCUCAGUAUUGUACCUUAGUUUUAUGUCAUUGAGUCAUAUUUAAUUGUGCCCUGAGAUGGUACAUGAAUAGCCAUUUCAGAAGUAAACAGAUAUGUUAUUGAAAUACAUAUGGUAUUCUAAGUAUUUCAGAUUCAUAGAGCUGAAUGGAACUUAUUUUUAACUUUAUGAAGAAAUAGUCUUUGAUAGACAUUUUUAAUGCUGCUUCUAUUCCAAAAUAAGUUUUGUGGCUGUAACAUUCUAGAAAUAGAUGUGUUCGAUGGAAAUGUUGACAGAUUCUUAUUUGAAAGCAAUGAAUGAAGCCACCUAGAAAUUUAGUGACCUCUCUUUCAAUGAAUGGCUAUUCAUAUUUAUUAUUAUCAAGCCUAAUAAUAAUCAGUUUUAAAGUACCAGCUGGGUACUGUAUGGCAUCUGAUGUGCUCUCAGUCUAAUGGGUCCACUCCUAAGCACCAUGGUUCAGCACACUCAAGCCAGUGCACACCAGAAUAUGAUGCAGCUUUGAGCCUUUACCCUUUCUACAAGUUAAUAUGUGAUAGGUCAGGACAUACAUGUAAUAGACCUUUUUUUUGCAUUGUGUCGUUCUUGGCACUGCAAAGGAAGGUAAUUUGUGUAAGACUUUUAUUGUGAAAUGGAAACUACAAAACAUACUUCUAAAAGAGAUGAUAUCUAAUACUCUUUUAUUUUUUGGCCAGAAAUGAUUCUGAAUUGAGUAGAAAA
This 5059-nucleotide long non-coding RNA is filed under the name Sus scrofa (pig). RNAcentral's name for it is "lncRNA (ENSSSCG00040029114.1)". The record is from RNAcentral. Lineage: Eukaryota; Metazoa; Chordata; Mammalia; Artiodactyla; Suidae.